Molecule: non-coding RNA, 115 nt
Organism: Acanthosepion pharaonis
Lineage: Eukaryota; Metazoa; Mollusca; Cephalopoda; Sepiida; Sepiidae
Source: the annotation of a GenBank genome assembly
UAUGGCCACAUCAUGUUGAAAUACCACUUCCCACAUACGAUCAUGGAAGUUAAGCAUCAUCAAGUUUGGUCAGUAUCUAGAUGGGUCACCACUUGGGAAUACCAGGUGCUGUAAG